AUUGAACGCUGGCGGAAUGCUUUACACAUGCAAGUCGAACGGCAGCACGGGGGCAGCCCUGGUGGCGAGUGGCGAACGGGUGAGUAAUACAUCGGGACGUGCCCGGUCGUGGGGGAUAACGUAGCGAAAGUUACGCUAAUACCGCAUACGAUCUGAGGAUGAAAGCGGGGGACCUUCGGGCCUCGCGCGAUCGGAGCGGCCGAUGUCAGAUUAGGUAGUUGGUGGGGUAAAGGCCUACCAAGCCGACGAUCUGUAGCUGGUCUGAGAGGACGACCAGCCACACUGGGACUGAGACACGGCCCAGACUCCUACGGGAGGCAGCAGUGGGGAAUUUUGGACAAUGGGCGCAAGCCUGAUCCAGCCAUUCCGCGUGCAGGACGAAGGCCUUCGGGUUGUAAACUGCUUUUGUACGGAACGAAAAGGCUCUGGCUAAUACCUGGGGCUCAUGACGGUACCGUAAGAAUAAGCACCGGCUAACUACGUG
Molecule: ribosomal RNA, 484 nt
Filed under: uncultured bacterium
Lineage: Bacteria
Description: partial 16S ribosomal RNA
Rfam family: Bacterial small subunit ribosomal RNA
Source: RNAcentral